UACCAGCACCCCGAGUGGUCGGGACGAUUAUUGGGCCUAAAGCAUCCGUAGCCGGUUUUACAAGUCCUCCGUUAAAUCCAGCUGCUUAACAGAUGGGCUGCGGAGGAUACUAUAAGACUAGGAGGCAGGAGAGGCAAGCGGUACUCAGUGGGUAGGGGUAAAAAUCCGUUGAUCCAUUGAAGACCACCAGUGGCGAAGGCGGCUUGCCAGAACGCGCUCGACGGUGAGGGAUGAAAGCUGGGGGGAGCAAACCGG
This 255-nucleotide ribosomal RNA is filed under the name uncultured bacterium. Its description in RNAcentral is "partial 16S ribosomal RNA". It matches the Rfam family "Archaeal small subunit ribosomal RNA", at positions 474 to 727 of the family's 1478-position model. The record is from RNAcentral.